RNAcentral lists this unclassified non-coding RNA (255 nucleotides) under uncultured Purpureocillium. RNAcentral describes it as "sequence contains ITS2". The record is from RNAcentral. Lineage: Eukaryota; Fungi; Ascomycota; Sordariomycetes; Hypocreales; Ophiocordycipitaceae.
AACGCACAUUGCGCCCGCCAGCAUUCUGGCGGGCAUGCCUGUUCGAGCGUCAUUUCAACCCUCGAGCCCCCCCGGGGGCCUCGGUGUUGGGGGACGGCACACCAGCCGCCCCCGAAAUGCAGUGGCGACCCCACCGCAGCCUCCCCUGCGUAGUAGCACACACCUCGCACCGGAGCGCGGAGGCGGUCACGCCGUAAAACGCCCAACCUUCUUAGAGUUGACCUCGGAUCAGGUAGGAAUACCCGCUGAACUUAA